CAGGGGUUAGUUUAAUUAAAAUAUUAAAUUUGGGUUUUAAAGAAAGAAGCUAUUCUUCCCCUGA
This 64-nucleotide transfer RNA is filed under the name Bolivaritettix lativertex. RNAcentral describes it as "tRNA-Pro". Lineage: Eukaryota; Metazoa; Arthropoda; Insecta; Orthoptera; Tetrigidae. RNAcentral also lists the same sequence under 2 other names. The record is from RNAcentral.